CUACGGAUGCACGGAGCCGAAGCGAAAGCGAGUCUUAAUAGGGCGUUUAGUCAGUGGUUGUAGACGCGAAACCUUGCGAUCUACCCUUGAGCAGGUUGAAGGUUGGGUAAAACCAACUGGAGGACCGAACGAAUAAGCGUUGAAAAGCUUCUCGAUGACUUGAGGGUAGGGGUGAAAGGCUAAUCAAGCUGGGAAAUAGCUCGUACUCCCCGAAAUGCCUUUUGGGGCAGCGUUGUAAUAAAGAGUCUACUGGAGGUAGAGCUACUGAUUGGAUGCGGGGGCUUCACCGCCUACCAAAUCCUGACAAACUCCGAAUGCCAGUAGUAUGAUUUACAGCAGUGAGUGACUGGGUGCUAAUGUCCAGUCGCAAAAGAGGAACAACUCAGACCAGCAACUAAGGUCCCGAAGAAUAUGCUAAGUUGAUCUAACGAUGUUUUGUUGCAGAGACAGCUAGGAUGUUAGCUUGGAAGCAGCUAUUCAUUCAAAGAGUGCGUAACAGCUCACUAGUCGAGCGACAGAGCGUGGAUAAUAAACGGGCAUCAAGCAUAUCACCGAAGUUCUGGGCGCGAGAGCGCGGUAGGGGAGCAUUCCAUUCAGCGUCGAAGCAGUUUCGUGAGGAAUUGUGGAGCGUAUGGAAAAGCAAAUGUAGGCAUGAGUAACGAUAAUGCGGGAGAGUAACCCGCACACCGCAAGACCAAGGUUUCCUGAUCAACGCUAAUCGGAUCAGGGUUAGUCGGGUCCUAAGGGUAAGCCGAACGGCGAUCUCGAUGGAUAAUCGGUUAAUAUUCCGAUACUAACAUAUACCUCGAUGGAGAGACGAAGGAACGUAAGUGCCGCCACCUGACGGAAUAGGUGGUUAAAGGGCGUAGGUAUAGGGGCAGAUUAAGAGUUAGUCCUUGCUGAAACCUGACAGUACAGAGAGCCUACGGGCAAUUUGAUAGAGCACCCAAGUCGACUUCCGAGAAAAUCUUCUAAGUUAUAGUAUAUGUUACCCGUACCGUAAACCGACACAGGUGGUCGAGGAGAGUAUCCUAAGGUGCUCGAGUGAAUCACGGUUAAGGAACUAGGCAAAUUAACCCCGUAACUUCGGGAAAAGGGGUCCCUAUGAAAGUAGGGCGCAGCGAAGAGGUCCAGGCGACUGUUUAUCAAAAACACAGGGCUCUGCAAAUUCGAAAGAAGACGUAUAGGGCCUGACACCUGCCCGGUGCUGGAAGGUUAAGAGGGGAUGUCAUCGCAAGAGAAGCAUUGAAUCGAAGCCCCAGUAAACGGCGGCCGUAACUAUAACGGUCCUAAGGUAGCGAAAUUCCUUGUCGGGUAAGUUCCGACCUGCACGAAUGGUGUAACGAUCUGGACACUGUCUCAACCGUGAGCUCGGUGAAAUUGUAGUCCCGGUGAUGAUGCCGGGUACCCGCAACGGGACGAAAAGACCCCGUGAACCUUUACUAUAGCUUAACGCUGAAUUUGGGUACACAAUGUGUAGGAUAGGCCGGAGGCUUUGAAGCGGGCACGCCAGUGUUCGUGGAGCCGACGUUGAAAUACGGCCCUUUGUGUAUUUGAGUUCUAACCCUGCGAAGGGGACACCGUUUGGUGGGUAGUUUGACUGGGGUGGUCGCCUCCAAAAGCGUAACGGAGGCUUCCCAAGGUACCCUCAGCACGAAUGGUAACCGUGCGCGGAGUGCAAUAGCAUAAGGGUGCUUGACUGUGAGACAUACAAGUCGACCAGGUACGAAAGUAGGGUAUAGUGAUCCGGUGGUUCUGCGUGGACUGGCCAUCGCUCAAAGGAUAAAAGGUACUCCGGGGAUAACAGGCUGAUCGCCGCCAAGAGCUCAUAUCGACGCGGCGGUUUGGCACCUCGAUGUCGGCUCGUCACAUCCUGGGGCUGGAGAAGGUCCCAA
This 1895-nucleotide ribosomal RNA is filed under the name human gut metagenome. RNAcentral describes it as "bacterial LSU rRNA". It matches the Rfam family "Bacterial large subunit ribosomal RNA", at positions 646 to 2568 of the family's 2925-position model. The record is from RNAcentral.